GACAGAGGAUGCAAGCGUUAUCCGGAAUGAUUGGGCGUAAAGCGUCUGUAGGUGGCUUUUUAAGUCUGCCGUCAAAUCCCAGGGCUUAACCGGGGAACUGCGUCUGAUACUGGAUGGCUAGAGUUUGGGAGAGGGAUGCGGAAUUCCAGGUGUAGCGGUGAAAUGAGUAGAUAUUGGAAAGAACACCGAUGGCGAAGGCACCUUACUGGGCUAUUACUAACACUCAGAGACGAAAGCUAGGGUAGCAAAUGGG
RNAcentral lists this ribosomal RNA (253 nucleotides) under uncultured bacterium. Its description in RNAcentral is "partial 16S ribosomal RNA". It matches the Rfam family "Bacterial small subunit ribosomal RNA", at positions 524 to 776 of the family's 1533-position model. The record is from RNAcentral.